This is a long non-coding RNA of Hyalella azteca, 1281 nucleotides long. RefSeq lists it as uncharacterized. The record is from RefSeq and is a predicted model, not a curated record. The transcript is spliced from 2 exons. Lineage: Eukaryota; Metazoa; Arthropoda; Malacostraca; Amphipoda; Hyalellidae.
CUUUAACGUUCCCUGUUAACCUCAAAGGCCAAGUUCCGUUCAAAGCUCCUAUCUGGAGCUAGAAUAAGCUUGCUGUACUUGCCGAUUUGGUCAGUAUUUUCCAUCCCUAAGUAAGAGUUUUAAGUCGUAUUAAUGGAUUAUUAUCGAAUCACAAAUGAACCAGCAUUCUUUGUGAAUAUUUAAUCACAUUCUUUGUUGUUUUGGGCUAACUUUGGUAAAUCCAGCUUUGGAGGCUGUGAAUUUAUGAUACUCAGUUAUGGUUGUUUUUGGUAGUUAUGAUGCAUUUGAAUAACUUAUGUGACAUUAUACUAUGAAUAUUCUCCCUACCCUAUUUAUAUAUAUAUAUUGAGUUAUAAUGUGGAACUGAAACCUGUUCACCACGGGCGUCUAUAUUACUAAUCAUCUUUCAUAGAACAUGUCUCUGUCAUUUAUUCAUGUCAUCCAUUUGAUUCACUUGUUCAGAUGGUCAAGUGUCGGUAUCAUUUAACGAUACAAAUUUAUUCUUCACGCCGCUUAAUUUGUGAUGUUCGUUUGGUUCGUUGGUGUCAAGGACAUAUUCUGAAUACAGUGCGUUGUGGAAUACUAACUUGUGAUGUUGUAAUAGACAGCAAAUUGGUGACCAAUGGUAUACGAACAUGAGAAAUCGUACCGACACAGUGGCACUAAACAAAAAACUUUUCUGAUGCAAAUCUUGUAAUAUUUGUAGGAUUGUAGGAUUUGUAGUAAAUAAAAUGUCUGUGCUUAUCUCAGUCAUGAAAAGAAUGAACUGUUGGAAUAUUUACGAGACGUUAUGAAGUAUUUGCUUAGCUGGUUUGUUACAUCUUGUCUCGUUAACUCGACUAUGUUUUGUCCUUAUAAAUACUAAUUUAUGCUUCAUAACUCUCAAAAAUGUGGUUUAGCUGGCACUGUUUACAGAAAAACAUUGUGCGGUAUAAUGAUUCAACCAAUUAUUGUCAGUUUAUCUUAUAAGAUAUUAUUGAUGUCUAGGGUUGUCUUGGUGCAUUUGUUGUAUGGUGUAGGUUAAUGUACAACGUAUUGCGCGGGUGCUGGUUGUUUGUACUAAGUUAAGCUGGUAUAAUGUGGCAUAUAUUAGCUGUUGAAUAGAUGGUUAGGUAAAGCCAUUCAUAUGCGGAUUGCGAGUCACAUUGGAACAUUGUUGUUUCAUGUGACAUUAUGGGAAUUUUGUCGGUAAAAAACGUAAUAUAGAAGUACAAAAAUGUUUCAUGAAUUGAUGGAACUAAAACUCAGCCAAAUAUAUGCAGCUUCUUGUUCAAUACGUCC